Molecule: small nucleolar RNA, 113 nt
Organism: Lycium barbarum (goji berry)
Lineage: Eukaryota; Viridiplantae; Streptophyta; Magnoliopsida; Solanales; Solanaceae
Product: small nucleolar RNA snoR97
Exons: 1
Source: RefSeq, a predicted model, not a curated record
AUAACAUUAAAAGAUAAGGAGAAGAAAGAGCAGUAUCCAGUAAAGUUAUGCUGUUUAUCAGCUUCUUCUCUUGAAUAUCCAACGAGAUGGAGUAAAAUCAUAGCACUAAAUGU